UUUACUUGCCAACUGCAAAAGAUCCAACUUAUACAGCUGAAGGAUUUGAAGUAAGCGUUGGCACGAACCAUCUUGGACACUUCCUCCUCUCAUGGCUGCUGUUAGAUGACAUGAAAGAAUCAGACUAUCCAUUUAAACGCUUCAUCAUUGUUGGCUCCAUAACAGGUACUAGUUUUGGUUAAACAUUUAACAAUUGCAACAGUUGGACAUACAGCUUUACAUUCAGAUGACCUGGUUAACGAAUUUAUCAUAAGAUCUUAAAGACUGCUAUGAUCAAAUCCAGAAAUUAUAUUCUUGAAUUUGUUUUCAAAGAAAGUAGGAGUGAAGUUGGGUGUAAAAGCCCAGAGCAAGAAAUGGUCAAUUGCUGAUUAGAAUUUCACGUUUAAUUAUAUUUUAGAAAGUGAACUUUUUUACAUUAAAUAUUUAGGAAGAAGUUUUGGCGAAUAGUGCAACUUCACAAAAAUAUUUCAUUUUUUCAUAGGAAGGUCUUAAAUUUGUAUCUCAAAAUCCCUCCCUCCAACUGUUUUGUCUCUAAUAUUACAUUGGUGGAACAGGAAACUAACAUACCCUAGUUCUAUUCUUUUUUACUCAUAACAGUCGUAUUCUAAUGAAGAAAGUUCUAAAACUAAAACAGUUUCUUACAUGGGUUUAUAUGCAAAGAAUCUAUAAGUUGCCAUGAACCAUGGUAGUUAAGUAAAUGUGGUUUGCUCUGGCUAAAACUACAGGAAACACAAACACCUUGGCUGGUAACGUGCCUCCAAAGGCAAAUCUUGGGGAUCUGAGGGGACUAGCAGGUGGAUUAAAUGGCUUAAACAAUUCACCUAUGAUAGAUGGGGGAGAAUUUGAUGGUGCCAAGGCCUACAAGGACAGCAAAGUUUGCAACAUCCUUACCAUGCAAGAGUUCCAUAGAUGCUUCCAUGAGGAGACUGGAAUCACCUUCGCAUCCCUCUACCCUGGAUGCAUUGCUACGACAGGCUUGUUUAGGGAACACAUUCCGUUGUUCAGGCUUCUCUUCCCACCUUUUCAAAAGUACAUCACCAAAGGUUACGUCUCUGAAGAAGAAGCUGGAAAAAGACUAGCACAGGUCAGUACUCGGUAUAUAUAAAUCAAAACAGGAUUUCAUUAUUCAGUUUCAGUGGUAUAUCAUUAUCAACUAAACCAUCCUUGCUGGAUCAGGUAGUAAGUGACCCAAGCCUAUCAAAAUCUGGUGUAUACUGGAGCUGGAACUCCAACUCUGCCUCAUUCGAGAACCAGCUUUCUCAAGAAGCCAGUGAUGCCGAGAAGGCACGCAAGUUAUGGGAGAUUAGUGAGAAGCUUGUUGGAUUGGCAUAAUUAAGAAAGUAUAAAAUUAACACGUGUGUUAGGAAUAAGUAUAACUAUAUAUAUAUAUUUGCAACUUGGGAAAACUGAGAAUAUUUAUAUAUAUAAUAUAUAGAACUUAUCUGAUGUAAACAUGAAUUAUAAACUAAGAGACAGCCGAGUAACAUGUCAAAGUAGCCACAAGAGAAGCAACAGAAUAGAAAUUAACAAGUAAAAAUUAUUGUUCUUCAAUGUCAGGCUACGUACACAAAACUCGGAAGUACAUAGAUGAGGAGAAAGAUUCAGAUUACUGAAACUACAUUUCUUGAUAAAGGCAGGCGAUAUAUAUCUCAAAAUAGAGCAGGAAAAAAACAGGCUUCCCAAGUUCUAGGAACUGGUGUUUGUUAGUAUCUUCGGCAGAACUCUUUUCCUUCCCAAGGGCAAGGAUAUGGCUUCUGUUGGCUGGUGGGAAUGAAUAUAUAUAUAUAUAUAUAUAUAUAGUUUGCUACACUUCUGACCAUGAUAAAAAAGAAAACCUCAAGCCUUCUACGACUAUAAACAAUGUGAUGGAUGUUCAAAUUUAAAUUAUCAACGUGGCAUAGAUGAAAGUAAGUAGGGCACGACGUCGUUUAAUUCCCAGAUUAGAUUCAUUCAACGCAGUUUUCAGUUGACACCUUAUUUCAUUCUCCAGUCUCCACGCACGCAUACGGAGAGAGAAUCCACAACUAAACUCUGUUCCGUUCCCCAGGUUUCUCUCAUUUUUUUAUCUCACAAAAAUAUACUCUACUUAUAUCACUAUCAUUCCUUCAUCAUAUAUACAUAGAUAUUGAUAUAGAGAUAGAAAAUGGAGGCAUUUGAUGCUAUGUACGGCGGCGACGAAGGAGGUGGAGGCGGACGAGAGCAGGUUGAAUCGACGGCUGUUCCCUUCGACGACGACGACGAUGACGAUGGCGCCUACAUUGGCAUUGAUUCGCGUCUCGCUUCCCAACGCUACGACUUCGACGAUCCUGCCGCUACACCUAAUUUCCACGACGAAUUUCCCGGCUCCAACAACACCACCAUGCAUUCGUCGCGGGACUAUGGAUACCAUCCCUCGCCGUUCGAGUCCUCAGCUGUCCCCGAAUCCAACGGCAAUGCUCCGGAACCCUACGAUCUAGGAGCUGAUACCGAGGGAAUCUUCUCUUCUUCCAAUGAAGGUCCGAUACUCCCUGACCCUAACCAGAUGCGAGAAGAAGGCUCUGCUUUUCGUGAGUGGCGCCGGUGAGUUCGUCUCAUAUUUUCACGUUGAUUCUGCGCAUCUGCGUUGUUUUUUGAUCUAUUUAUACUUAUUAGAAAAGCAGGUUAGUUUAUUAUGCAGGGCUGAAUUGGAUUGUGUUUUCAUCAAUCUGGUUUGUGUGGAUUUUAUUACUGAAUGCAUUUCUUAUUUAUUUAGUAAUAUUUUUAAGUGGAUUGUGAUUAUUAGUUCAUGAUGGAUGUUACUUGUAACUUUUGUAAUGAUGGAAUGACGGCUUAAAUGCAUCCAUAGAUGAUCAAGCUUCAAUUGUGCCGCAGCUAGAUUUAAUCAUUCAAUGUACAAGGUUAAAUCUUAACGAUGCGAACAGCAAUUCGCGUUGAACUCAUUUGUGUUGAUGAUGAUAUCUAAAGAAAACAUAAAGUAGUGAAACUGAGAUUUGCUCAGGGUUUGAAGAAAGGAUGAAGACUGACGAGUCAGAUGGCAUUCCCAUUCUUGUUCUUUUAUCCCCUGGAAUAUGAAGUAACUUAUAAGAAAAUCCUCCUUUUCUCAUUCAAUUCACUAACCUACAGAGACAAAGACUCUUUCAUGAACUACCUGAAAUUAAGGGUGUAAACGAAUCGAGUCGAUCCGAGUAUUGAGUUGCUCAGAUUUGGUUCACAAAAUUUAUCGAGUAUAAAAUAAGGUUUGAUUGAUGCUCAUUUAGCUACCGAGUCGAGCACGAUUCCGAAUCGAGUCCGAGCAGUUUGGACUUUUCUAACGAAUAUGAUCCGAGUAUAAAAAGAAAAUUAUAAUUUGAGGAGGUUCAAGUAAUUUAUCGAACUUUAAAAUGUGCUCAUAUUUGACUCAUUUAUAUUUCGAGUCGAGCUCGAAUCGAACUUUUAGUCGAGCAACUACGAAUCGAACCCGAACUAUUUGCUCAUUUUACAGCCUUACCUGAAAUUAGCUAUGAGGGCCUUAUGACUCUUUUAUUGAAUAAUCCUAUAGCUGAGUAGAUUAAGAUUUUUAUUUACUUAUUAGUUGAUUGAUGAAUUCAGAAUAAGAUAUAUGGCUAAGAAUUUACGAAAAGAAAAUAUUAAAUUGUUUGGAUAAAAAUUACAAUUAAGGCCUUGCCUUGCAAUCAAGUAGUACAAAAUGAUGUUGAAUUUAUUAAAAUUACGGAAUCUUAGAAAACUGUGGGAGAUGCUUGAUAGUGUCACGCUGUGAGAAAACAAUAUAUCAAUAUGCUUGCUAACAUUCAGGAAGCAGAAAAUCUGUAGGUAAUAGGCCUGACUCAAAUUUAGUUUGUUUGAGCUUUUUAGAACAAAGAAUAUGUUACUUAAAUCACUUAAAAUAGCCUAAAGGAUGUUCUUUGGGGUUGGGACCUGGAGGAAGUAUGAACAACAAAACUUUGUAUGGAUAUCUGUAAUAUGAGGAUAUGCCUUUUGUGACGAGCAAAAAGAUUUUAAGCAGUGGAAUCAAAUAGGUCAAUAUUUUUAUUUAAUAUUUUGGAUAAGUAACAUUGGCCCGCCCCGCUUAUGGGAUCAUAACAAGAAAUCAGCUAGGUCAGUAUUGGGCCAGUUCAAUUAAUUGAGGCCAUUUGAUACCUUAAUUGAUUUUCGUAUGUUUUUGUACCGCUGGCAGUUAAAACUUUUGUCAUUGGCAAUCGGCCAUAUCAUUGUCAUAUGUACUUAUUUUAAUGGUUUACCAUAUAUGUCCUAAUAGGUGUUGAUCUGAACUAAACCACUGGAUUAUUGCUUUUUGCAGAUUUUGUGUAAUGUUGUGACCCAAUUAAUUCUAUGAAGCAGGUGUUCCUCGCUUGUCCAUAGACCUUUGUGUAGCCCAGACAAGUUAAAUUGUGCUUCGUCCUAGGGUUAGGAACUAGUUGUAAUGCUUUUACCAUCUUUAAAGAGGUUAUCCUUGAACAGAUUGAAAGGAUCCGCUUUUGUUCCUCUAUUUUAUUUUUCCUUUCUUGUUUCCUAGUUCCCUGAUGCUUCAUUUUAUCCUUAGGUUAGUGAUGGUAGGUUGGCUUUUGUUGAAUUUUUUUUGUAGUAUGCAAGAAUUAAAUUAUAUGCUGCGUUAUACUCGAUAUUUUUCUUGGUUUGUUUGGAUCAAGUUAAAGUAUUUUUGUUGGACCGUAUGGACCCCUGUGGUUCUUCCAUCCAAUGGGGUUGUGGUAUUAAGUUAAUUCAAUAUUAAGUUUAAGGUUACUAUAAAUUUGUGGCUUCUAACAAUUUUAAAUUAUUUCUGUAGCCAAAAUGCUAUUUAUCUCGAGGAGAAGGAAAAGAAGGAAAAGGAGAUGCGGAAUCAGAUAAUCAAUGAAGCUGAUGAGUAUAAGCGAGCUUUUACUGAGAAAAGGAAGGUCAACUGUGAAACUAACAAGGCUAAUAACAGAGAAAGAGAGAAGGUAAACUGCUGAUAAUGAUAUUUCUUAUUCCUCCAUAAGCAUUUGUAUGAUUUUUGUGUCAUAACAUGAUUUUGUGUAUUGGGACAGCUAUACCUGGCCAAUCAAGAGAAGUUCCACAAGGAAGCUGACAAACAGUACUGGAAAGCAAUUGGGGAGAUCAUUCCUCGUGAGGU
RNAcentral lists this long non-coding RNA (5089 nucleotides) under Panax ginseng (ginseng). RNAcentral describes it as "long non-coding RNA (PGIN_LNC016207)". Lineage: Eukaryota; Viridiplantae; Streptophyta; Magnoliopsida; Apiales; Araliaceae. The record is from RNAcentral.